RNAcentral lists this small nuclear RNA (19 nucleotides) under Arabidopsis thaliana (thale cress). Its description in RNAcentral is "snRNA_14566". The record is from RNAcentral. Lineage: Eukaryota; Viridiplantae; Streptophyta; Magnoliopsida; Brassicales; Brassicaceae.
UCGGGCGUGUGUGUCAGGU